Molecule: ribosomal RNA, 360 nt
Filed under: uncultured bacterium
Lineage: Bacteria
Description: partial 16S ribosomal RNA
Rfam family: Bacterial small subunit ribosomal RNA
Source: RNAcentral
CCUACGGGUGGCAGCAGUAGGGAAUUUUCGGCAAUGGGGGGAACCCUGACCGAGCAACGCCGCGUGAACGAAGAAGUUAUUCGUAAUGUAAAGUUCUUUUAACAGGGAAGAAAGAGAAAUUUGACGGUAACUGAAGAAUAAGCUCCGGCAAACUACGGGCCAGCAGCCGGGGUAAUACGUAGGGAGCGAGCGUUAUUCGGAAUUAUUGGGCGGAAAGGGUGGGAAGAGGGCAUAGUAAGUGUUUUGUAAAAAUGCCGGCGUAAACCGAGUAGGGCAAAAGAUACUGUAAAUCUUGAGUAGGACAGAGGCAGGUGGAACUACGUGUGUAGCGGUGAAAUGCGUAGAUAUAUGUAAGAACAC